GUAAACACUUUCAGGCACCAGCUGACUUAAUACAGUUUAUAAAUAACUCUUUAAGUUUGCACUUUGUCUAGUGUCAACUAUCAACUCUUUAGAGUUUCUUUGUAUAGACUGGUCUUGGUUAAGAGACGACACCGUUAACUGAAGUCAAAUCAACUGAUGUAAAAGAUGUGAUUAUAUAGGAUUAAGUAAUUAUUUAGAAAAGACUGAAUCUUGGUUUUACAUUAGUGAAAUGUGGUUAUCUGGCAGUGGUAGUAUAAGCCUAGCACACAGCCUUUCCUGUUACAUCAAGCCCUAAAAGGAAUUAACUACAACUUAAUUUUUUUUUUUUUCUUUUUGGUGGGGGGCAGCCAAUAGAAAUAGAUAUGAUUGUAGGAAAAGACCGGGAAGGUUUCUUUACCAACGGUUUGACUCUUGGCGCGAAGAAAUGCUCAGUGAUCAGAGAUAGUCUAUACGUCGAUGGUGACUGCACAAUGGACAUCCGGACAAAGAGUCAAGGUGGGGAGCCAACAUACAAUGUGGCUGUCGGCAGAGCUGGUAGAGGUAACAUUGGUUAUAGUCAUGGGAAAGGAAGGUGUCCACGGAGGCACACUUAACAAGAAAGCAUAUGAACUCGCUUUAUACCUGAGGAGGUCUGAUGUGUAAGCAGCCUCUCCCCAUCUACCUAGCAACUGUCUUCAUCAACAACCCUAAUUAUGGUCACAAUGCUACCAAACUAUAGAUGGUAGCUAAUUUUUCUUCACCUAUUUUCUAAUGUCA
This 756-nucleotide small RNA is filed under the name Pongo abelii (Sumatran orangutan). RNAcentral describes it as "retained intron". The record is from RNAcentral. Lineage: Eukaryota; Metazoa; Chordata; Mammalia; Primates; Hominidae.